RNAcentral lists this transfer RNA (66 nucleotides) under bovine gut metagenome. It matches the Rfam family "tRNA". Rfam says of the family: Transfer RNA (tRNA) molecules are approximately 80 nucleotides in length. Their secondary structure includes four short double-helical elements and three loops (D, anti-codon, and T loops). Further hydrogen bonds mediate the characteristic L-shaped molecular structure. tRNAs have two regions of fundamental functional importance: the anti-codon, which is responsible for specific mRNA codon recognition, and the 3' end, to which the tRNAs corresponding amino acid is attached (by aminoacyl-tRNA synthetases). tRNAs cope with the degeneracy of the genetic code in two manners: having more than one tRNA (with a specific anti-codon) for a particular amino acid; and 'wobble' base-pairing, i.e. permitting non-standard base-pairing at the 3rd anti-codon position. The record is from RNAcentral.
UAAUUAGCUCAGCUGGUAGAGCACUCGGCUGUUAACCGAUAGGUCGUAGGUUCGAGUCCUACAUUA